This 443-nucleotide ribosomal RNA is filed under the name uncultured bacterium. Its description in RNAcentral is "partial 16S ribosomal RNA". It matches the Rfam family "Bacterial small subunit ribosomal RNA", at positions 338 to 795 of the family's 1533-position model. The record is from RNAcentral.
CCUACGUGAGGCAGCAGUGGGGAAUAUUGGACAAUGGGGGGAACCCUGAUCCAGCGACGCCGCGUGAGUGAAGAAGUAUUUCGGUAUGUAAAGCUCUAUCAGCAGGGAAGAAAGAAAUGACGGUACCUGACUAAGAAGCCCCGGCUAACUACGUGCCAGCAGCCGCGGUAAUACGUAGGGGGCAAGCGUUAUCCGGAUUUACUGGGUGUAAAGGGAGCGUAGACGGCGAUGCAAGUCUGAAGUGAAAGGCGGGGGCCCAACCCCCGGACUGCUUUGGAAACUGUAUGGCUGGAGUGCAGGAGAGGUAAGUGGAAUUCCUAGUGUAGCGGUGAAAUGCGUAGAUAUUAGGAGGAACACCAGUGGCGAAGGCGGCUUACUGGAUUGUAACUGACGUUGAGGCUCGAAAGCGUGGGGAGCAAACAGGAUUAGAUACCCGGGUAGUC